AGGGGUGGACGCAUGGGGUAUGAGAACAAAGAGUGAUAAAAAUCAGCUCUAGUUGUUCCGUAAACUCAAAUCAACCAAGUUCUACACUCAUUUUUUCACUGCUUUUUAUCUCAAUAAUUUGAUAUUCGGCAAAGCCACAGGCCACACAGCAUAGCUCCCAGGUGGUAAACUCCAUGCACCCAAUUUUUAUUUUAUUAUUCAUGUCUAUUACUAGCUCUGAUUCUCCCUCCGGUAUUAUUAAAAAUGAUGUGAGGAAGAUGUUUUUUGUUCUCCUUUGGAGAAAAGAUAAUUUUGUGUGAACUGCAACAACUUGUCACCAAACUAUCAAACUUCAGCCAAUCGUGCCCUCCAUCCUCUCCAUCAUCGAAAGCAUGUCUCGUAAAUGUCCCUCCCCGAUGGCUGCAUUUUGGGGUCCCCGCCCGCCAUCGCCUCCUCCACCAGCCGUAACACAUGAAUAACAUACUCUGAUCUUCAG
This 475-nucleotide small RNA is filed under the name Histoplasma capsulatum. RNAcentral describes it as "hypothetical RNA". RNAcentral also lists the same sequence under 1 other name. The record is from RNAcentral. Lineage: Eukaryota; Fungi; Ascomycota; Eurotiomycetes; Onygenales; Ajellomycetaceae.